ACGCUCGACACUACGGGGCAGCAGUUGGGAAUAUUGGACAAUGGAGGAAACUCUGAUCCAGUGACGCCGCGUGAAGGAAGAAGGUCUUCGGAUUGUAAACUUAUUUUGUCAGGGAAGAAAAAAUGACUGUACCUGAAGAAAAAGCACCGGCUAACUACGUGCCGGCAGCCGCGGUAAUCUGAGCGGGCUGGCAAGGC
Molecule: ribosomal RNA, 197 nt
Filed under: uncultured bacterium
Lineage: Bacteria
Description: partial 16S ribosomal RNA
Rfam family: Bacterial small subunit ribosomal RNA
Source: RNAcentral